UACGGAGGGUGCAAGCGUUAUCCGGAUUCACUGGGUUUAAAGGGUGCGUAGGUGGAAUGGUAAGUCAGUGGUGAAAUCUCCAAGCUUAACUUGGAAACUGCCGUUGAUACUAUCAUUCUUGAAUAUCGUGGAGGUAAGCGGAAUAUGUCAUGUAGCGGUGAAAUGCUUAGAUAUGACAUAGAACACCGAUUGCGAAGGCAGCUUGCUAGACGAUCAUUGACACUGAGGCACGAAAGCGUGGGGAUCAAACAGG
RNAcentral lists this ribosomal RNA (253 nucleotides) under uncultured bacterium. Its description in RNAcentral is "partial 16S ribosomal RNA". It matches the Rfam family "Bacterial small subunit ribosomal RNA", at positions 524 to 776 of the family's 1533-position model. The record is from RNAcentral.